CACUGAUUUAAGAGCUUCCUUGCAGUUUACUGUCGCAAACACAUGCAGCAUUGACAGAAAACAGUGCAGAACAACCAGUUCAGGAGUAACAGGCUCUUUUCGAGAAUAUUUUGCUGCAAGAUUUUAAAGGAUUCUACAAAGAAAAGAAGAGUGUCUUUAUUUCCAUUUGUGGAAGAAUAAUAUGAGGCAUAUGAAGAAAACCGUAAUAGGAGUUGCUCAGACACCUGGAGCCAUCACCUGAAGUCAUUCAGCACUCCCUCUGCUCUGCCACACACCCCUGAGGCCAGUCCCUGCUGCCACGCUUUGGAAAGCACUCAACAGCUUACACUUAUUCAAAUGAAGUCUGUGUUGUCUUUCCACAUCAGCCAGGAGAAGGUAUUUCAACUGGUAUUCUGCA
Molecule: long non-coding RNA, 397 nt
Organism: Lonchura striata (white-rumped munia)
Lineage: Eukaryota; Metazoa; Chordata; Aves; Passeriformes; Estrildidae
Source: Ensembl